UACGGAGGGUGCAAGCGUUGUUCGGAAUCACUGGGCGUAAAGGGCGUGUAGGCGGUCCGCUAAGUCUGAUGUGAAAGCCCGAGGCUUACCCUCGGAAGUGCAUUGGAGACUGGCGGACUGGAGUCCCUGAGAGGAGGGUGGAAUUCCUGGUGUAGCGGUGAAAUGCGUAGAUAUCAGGAGGAACACCGGUGGCGAAGGCGGCCCUCUGGACGGUGACUGACGCUGAGACGCGAAAGCGUGGGGAGCAAACAGG
This 253-nucleotide ribosomal RNA is filed under the name uncultured bacterium. RNAcentral's name for it is "partial 16S ribosomal RNA". It matches the Rfam family "Bacterial small subunit ribosomal RNA", at positions 524 to 776 of the family's 1533-position model. The record is from RNAcentral.